CGUAGGUAAUCUACCCCAGAGUCUGGAAUAACCUGCCGAAAGGCGGGCUAAUACUGGAUAGAGCGACGGAAUCCGUAAUCGGGUUUUUCGGGAAAGGGAGGAAGCAAUUCCCUUCGCUCUGGGAUGAGCCUGCGUCUCAUUAGCUAGUUGGUGGGGUAAAAGCCUACCAAGGCAUUGAUGAGUAGCUGGUCUGAGAGGAUGAUCAGCCACACUGGAACUGAGACACGGUCCAG
Molecule: ribosomal RNA, 233 nt
Filed under: uncultured bacterium
Lineage: Bacteria
Description: partial 16S ribosomal RNA
Rfam family: Bacterial small subunit ribosomal RNA
Source: RNAcentral